RNAcentral lists this ribosomal RNA (254 nucleotides) under uncultured bacterium. RNAcentral describes it as "partial 16S ribosomal RNA". It matches the Rfam family "Bacterial small subunit ribosomal RNA", at positions 524 to 776 of the family's 1533-position model. The record is from RNAcentral.
UACGUAGGGGGCGAGCGUUGUCCGGAUUCAUUGGGCGUAAAGAGCUCGUAGGCGGCUUGGCAAGUCGGAUGUGAAAACUCCAGGCUCAACCUGGAGCCGCCAUUCGAUACUGCUAUGGCUAGAGUCCGGUAGGGGAGUGUGGAAUUCCCGGUGUAGCGGUGAAAUGCGCAGAUAUCGGGAGGAACACCGAUGGCGAAGGCGGCAUCCUGGACCGACACUGACGCUGAGGAGCGAAAGCCAGGGGAGCAAACGGG